RNAcentral lists this long non-coding RNA (278 nucleotides) under Equus asinus (donkey). RNAcentral's name for it is "lncRNA (ENSEASG00005035383.1)". The record is from RNAcentral. Lineage: Eukaryota; Metazoa; Chordata; Mammalia; Perissodactyla; Equidae.
CGCCGCCGCCGCAGCUACGACCGCCGCGUUCUAUUCUCCUCAGCCGGCGACAGCCUUGCCUCCUGCCUCCCGCCUCCUCCUCCUCCUCCCGCCGCGCCAGCCAGACCGGCACGCUGGGCCUCGCUUAGAACCCGGAGGGCUGCGGGCGCGCGCAGGCGGCGGAGCAGAUCCCGGCGCCGCGGAGGCUGCGAGCGCCCCCCUCCCGGAGGUCGCCGCGCUGUUCCCCGGGGGAACAUUCAUCUGUUUUAAAACGCAGACAGAAAACAAGAAGUUCUCUC